ACGAACGCUGGCGGCGUGCUUAACACAUGCAAGUCGAACGGAAAGGCCCUGCUUUUGUGGGGUGCUCGAGUGGCGAACGGGUGAGUAACACGUGAGUAACCUGCCCUUGACUUUGGGAUAACUUCAGGAAACUGGGGCUAAUACCGGAUAGGAGCUCCUGCUGCAUGGUGGGGGUUGGAAAGUUUCGGCGGUUGGGGAUGGACUCGCGGCUUAUCAGCCUGUUGGUGGGGUAGUGGCUUACCAAGGCUUUGACGGGUAGCCGGCCUGAGAGGGUGACCGGCCACAUUGGGACUGAGAUACGGCCCAGACUCCUACGGGAGGCAGCAGUGGGGAAUAUUGCACAAUGGGCGGAAGCCUGAUGCAGCAACGCCGCGUGCGGGAUGACGGCCUUCGGGUUGUAAACCGCUUUCGCCUGUGACGAAGCGUGAGUGACGGUAAUGGGUAAAGAAGCACCGGCUAACUACGUG
RNAcentral lists this ribosomal RNA (467 nucleotides) under uncultured bacterium. Its description in RNAcentral is "partial 16S ribosomal RNA". It matches the Rfam family "Bacterial small subunit ribosomal RNA", at positions 29 to 507 of the family's 1533-position model. The record is from RNAcentral.